UAAAUGACUCUCGGCAACGGAUAUCUCGGCUCUCGCAUCGAUGAAGAACGUAGCGAAAUGCGAUACUUGGUGUGAAUUGCAGAAUCCCGUGAACCAUCGAGUCUUUGAACGCAAGUUGCGCCCGAAGCCAUCUGGCCGAGGGCACGUCUGCCUGGGCGUCACGC
RNAcentral lists this ribosomal RNA (164 nucleotides) under Tecticornia australasica. RNAcentral describes it as "5.8S ribosomal RNA". It matches the Rfam family "5.8S ribosomal RNA". From Rfam's summary of the family: 5.8S ribosomal RNA (5.8S rRNA) is a component of the large subunit of the eukaryotic ribosome. It is transcribed by RNA polymerase I as part of the 45S precursor that also contains 18S and 28S rRNA. Functionally, it is thought that 5.8S rRNA may be involved in ribosome translocation. The record is from RNAcentral. Lineage: Eukaryota; Viridiplantae; Streptophyta; Magnoliopsida; Caryophyllales; Amaranthaceae.